Molecule: ribosomal RNA, 516 nt
Filed under: Acartia bispinosa
Lineage: Eukaryota; Metazoa; Arthropoda; Copepoda; Calanoida; Acartiidae
Description: bacterial SSU rRNA
Rfam family: Eukaryotic small subunit ribosomal RNA
Source: RNAcentral
GCUAAUAGGCCCGACCUUUUUUCUUUUCAGCUUGGGUAGCGGUGUUAGGUUUUGGGUCGUGGCCCGGUUCGCUGGCGUCACGGCUCGGCCUGAUAACGUCCCAGGCUGCGGGUCGGGAGUUCUUCUUAUAGGGACUGGCGAUUGUUAGUCGCACGAGAUAGAGCAAUAACAGGUCUGUGAUGCCCUUAGAUGUUCUGGGCCGCACACGCGCUACACUGAAACGAUCAGCUAGUUUCUCCCUCUCCGAGAGGAGCGGGAAAACUGUUGAACCCUUUUCGUGGUAGGGAUUGGAGCUUGCAAUUGUUCUCCAUGAACCACGAAUUCCCAGUAGGCGCGAGUCAUAAGCUCGCGUCGAUUACGUCCCUGCCCUUUGUACACACCGCCCGUCGCUACUACCGAUUGAGUGUUUUAGUGAGGUCCUCGGAUUGCUGCCUCGGCAGGACUCGUUUCUGUCUUUGCGGCGAGAAGACGACCAAACUGUAGCACUUAUAGGAAGUAAAAGUCGUAACAAGGUAU